UUAUACAACAUGAAGAAGAUAAUGUUUCAUUCGUUUUUACCACUCAUUCACUUAUGGUAACAAAAUAAGGUUCUUUUCAAUAUCCGCGUGGUGUGUGAUUUUU
Molecule: long non-coding RNA, 103 nt
Organism: Limulus polyphemus (Atlantic horseshoe crab)
Lineage: Eukaryota; Metazoa; Arthropoda; Merostomata; Xiphosura; Limulidae
Exons: 3
Source: RefSeq, a predicted model, not a curated record